Molecule: long non-coding RNA, 625 nt
Organism: Neodiprion virginianus
Lineage: Eukaryota; Metazoa; Arthropoda; Insecta; Hymenoptera; Diprionidae
Exons: 3
Source: RefSeq, a predicted model, not a curated record
CUGUCGGUCCGCUGUUCGACCGGGUUCUGUCGCUGGUCCGUACCGAGGGGUAGAGCACCAGGGGAAAGUGAUUUAUGACUUCGGAGAGCCCAGGUAUAGCCGGCUCUCUCAUUCACAGCAACUGGUGUAUCCGAUCCCCGAAUACCGGGGUGCGACUUCUCGCGUUCGUCUACCAGUUGGCGCAUUUACGCCUCUCGCUGCAGACCGCAGACGCACUUUUUGAUCGCCUACCGGAUCGCCGAGGACAACGAUUUGGUGCCGAACAACCUUUCGCGGAAUGGAGCAUACAGUGGAUUGCCCUCCUUGCCAAUAUCGCAGUCAGAAAUUUCGCGACGCGUCAAAGUUACGGUCGAGGACCAGGAAGGAAGCGAGCAUAAUGAAGAAACGCGGUAAAGGAGGAAGACACGGAAGAGGAAAAGGGACCGGGCACCACUAGCCACCCCCGAGGAUCAUCAAUCACCGGGACCGAGACAAUCCGAGACAAUCGAUGUGCGCGCCCGACCAACGAACAGCUGUCGCCUCGCCGGUUCGACCGAUUCCACGUCGUCCACGUUUCGGGAGUUCUUGGUGGAUAAUUCAUCGAAAUUUCCGGGAGCGAGAUGUAUUUUUAUUUUUUUUUGAAGAC